RNAcentral lists this ribosomal RNA (525 nucleotides) under uncultured bacterium. Its description in RNAcentral is "bacterial SSU rRNA". It matches the Rfam family "Bacterial small subunit ribosomal RNA", at positions 9 to 530 of the family's 1533-position model. The record is from RNAcentral.
GAGUUUGAUCCUGGCUCAGGAUGAACGCUGGCGGCGUGCUUAACACAUGCAAGUCGAACGGAGUACCCCUGAAGGAGUUUUCUGACAACUGAUGGGACUACUUAGUGGCGGACGGGUGAGUAACGCGUGAGUAACCUGCCUUGGAGUGGGGAAUAACAGCUGGAAACAGCUGCUAAUACCGCAUAAUAUGUCUGUGUCGCAUGGCACUGGACAUCAAAGAUUUAUCGCUCUGAGAUGGACUCGCGUCUGAUUAGCUAGUUGGCGGGGUAACGGCCCACCAAGGCGACGAUCAGUAGCCGGACUGAGAGGUUGGCCGGCCACAUUGGGACUGAGACACGGCCCAGACUCCUACGGGAGGCAGCAGUGGGGAAUAUUGGGCAAUGGGCGCAAGCCUGACCCAGCAACGCCGCGUGAAGGAAGAAGGCUUUCGGGUUGUAAACUUCUUUUCUCAGGGACGAAGCAAGUGACGGUACCUGAGGAAUAAGCCACGGCUAACUACGUGCCAGCAGCCGCGGUAAUACAUAG